CGCCAUCUAGAUGCUAAAAGCAGCGCUUCGGUCGUCAUUAGUGACGUAUUUUUCAGUUUUGUGUGGAAUAGACACCUCUGCUUUGCCACUCUGGAGGUAAUCUGUCAGAAAUGGGCCCCUGCAGCUGCAAGUGACAGAUAAACAGAAAAGGCGGCCAAGGACAAGCUCCUUCGACGUCUUCAUAAGCACCUGCCACAUCGAGGUCAGCACCUCUAGCAGCCUCCACGGCAUCAAAACCUUCGAGCAGAAACACAAAGAGGCAAGAGAACAUCCUGAGAAGAGGAUUAAAGUCCAUCCUUCUGAAACUUGUUUUGGAUCCAGGUUCAGAGAAUCUCAACAGUGAAACAGAAUCGCACCACUCGGCAAAGA
Poeciliopsis prolifica (blackstripe livebearer) is the source of this 369-nucleotide long non-coding RNA. RefSeq lists it as uncharacterized. The transcript is spliced from 4 exons. The record is from RefSeq and is a predicted model, not a curated record. NCBI's taxonomy places the organism in Eukaryota, Metazoa, Chordata, Actinopteri, Cyprinodontiformes, Poeciliidae.